GGUAGAGAGAAGCUUGCUUCUCUUGAGAGCGGCGGACGGGUGAGUAAUGCCUAGGAAUCUGCCUGGUAGUGGGGGAUAACGUUCGGAAACGGACGCUAAUACCGCAUACGUCCUACGGGAGAAAGCAGGGGACCUUCGGGCCUUGCGCUAUCAGAUGAGCCUAGGUCGGAUUAGCUAGUUGGUGAGGUAAUGGCUCACCAAGGCGACGAUCCGUAACUGGUCUGAGAGGAUGAUCAGUCACACUGGAACUGAGACACGGUCCAGACUCCUACGGGAGGCAGCAGUGGGGAAUAUUGGACAAUGGGCGAAAGCCUGAUCCAGCCAUGCCGCGUGUGUGAAGAAGGUCUUCGGAUUGUAAAGCACUUUAAGUUGGGAGGAAGGGCAGUUGCCUAAUACGUAACUGUUUUGACGUUACCGACAGAAUAAGCACCGGCUAACUCUGUGCCAGCAGCCGCGGUAAUACAGAGGGUGCAAGCGUUAAUCGGAAUUACUGGGCGUAAAGCGCGCGUAGGUGGUUUGUUAAGUUGGAUGUGAAAUCCCCGGGCUCAACCUGGGAACUGCAUUCAAAACUGACUGACUAGAGUAUGGUAGAGGGUGGUGGAAUUUCCUGUGUAGCGGUGAAAUGCGUAGAUAUAGGAAGGAACACCAGUGGCGAAGGCGACCACCUGGACUGAUACUGACACUGAGGUGCGAAAGCGUGGGGAGCAAACAGGAUUAGAUACCCUGGUAGUCCACGCCGUAAACGAUGUCAACUAGCCGUUGGAAGCCUUGAGCUUUUAGUGGCGCAGCUAACGCAUUAAGUUGACCGCCUGGGGAGUACGGCCGCAAGGUAAAACUCAAAUGAAUUGACGGGGGCCGCACAAGCGUGGAGCAUGUGGUUAAUUCGAAGCACGCGAAGAACUUACCAGGCUUGACUCCAUGAAUU
Molecule: ribosomal RNA, 925 nt
Filed under: Pseudomonas palleroniana
Lineage: Bacteria; Pseudomonadati; Pseudomonadota; Gammaproteobacteria; Pseudomonadales; Pseudomonadaceae
Description: bacterial SSU rRNA
Rfam family: Bacterial small subunit ribosomal RNA
Source: RNAcentral